RNAcentral lists this ribosomal RNA (472 nucleotides) under uncultured bacterium. RNAcentral's name for it is "bacterial SSU rRNA". It matches the Rfam family "Bacterial small subunit ribosomal RNA", at positions 328 to 793 of the family's 1533-position model. The record is from RNAcentral.
GUGUACCACUCCUACGGGAGGCAGCAGUGGGGAAUAUUGCACAAUGGGGGAAACCCUGAUGCAGCCAUGCCGCGUGUGUGAAGAAGGCCUUCGGGUUGUAAAGCACUUUCAGUAGGGAGGAAGGUAGUGUAGUUAACACCUGCACUAUUUGACGUUACCUACAGAAGAAGCACCGGCUAACUCCGUGCCAGCAGCCGCGGUAAUACGGAGGGUGCGAGCGUUAAUCGGAAUUACUGGGCGUAAAGCGCAUGCAGGCGGCCUGUUAAGUCAGAUGUGAAAGCCCGGGGCUUAACCUCGGAAUUGCAUUUGAAACUGGCAGGCUAGAGUCUUGUAGAGGGGGUAGAAUUUCAGGUGUAGCGGUGAAAUGCGUAGAGAUCUGAAGGAAUACCAGUGGCGAAGGCGGCCCCCUGGACAAAGACUGACGCUCAGAUGCGAAAGCGUGGGGAGCAAACAGGAUUAGAUACCCUGGUAG